This is a regulatory RNA element of 61 nucleotides. It matches the Rfam family "L31-Gammaproteobacteria ribosomal protein leader". The record is from Rfam.
CGUGUGGUGCCGGUGCAGGAAAUUUCCUGGCACGGGAGAGCGACGCGGCCUUAACUGAGGU